RNAcentral lists this ribosomal RNA (2913 nucleotides) under Escherichia coli. Its description in RNAcentral is "23S ribosomal RNA". It matches the Rfam family "Bacterial large subunit ribosomal RNA". The record is from RNAcentral. Lineage: Bacteria; Pseudomonadati; Pseudomonadota; Gammaproteobacteria; Enterobacterales; Enterobacteriaceae.
GGGUUGUGAGGUUAAGCCGACUAAGCGUACACGGUGGAUGCCCGGCAGUCAGAGGCGAUGAAGGACGUGCUAAUCUGCGAUAAGCGUCGGUGAGGUGAUAUGAACCGUUAUAACCGGCGAUUUCCGAAUGGGGAAACCCAGUGUGUUUCGACACACUAUCAUUAAACUGAAUCCAUAGGUUAAUGAGGCGAACCGGGGGAACUGGAAACAUCUAAGUACCCCGAGGAAAAGAAAUCAACCGAGAUUCCCCAGUAGCGGCGAGCGAACGGGGAGGACCCAGAGCCUGAAUCAUGGUGUGUUAGUGGAAGCGUCUGGAAAGGCGCGCGAUACAGGGUGACAGCCCCAGUACACAAAAAUGCACAUAUUGUGAGCUCGAUGAGUAGGGCGGGACACGUGGUAUCCUGUCUGAAUAUGGGGGACCAUCCUCCAAGGCUAAAUACUCCUGACUGACCGAUAGUGAACCAGUACCGUGAGGGAAAGGCGAAAAAAGAACCUCGGCGAGGGGAGUGAAAAGAACCUGAAACCGUGUACGUACAAGCAGUGGGAGCCUCUUAAUGGGGUGACUGCGUACCUUUGUAUAAUGGGUCAGCGACUUAUAUUCUGUAGCAAGGUUAACCGAAUAGGGGAGCCGAAGGGAAACCGAGUCUUAACUGGGCGUUAAGUUGCAGGGUAUAGACCCGAAACCCGGUGAUUCAGCCAUGGGCAGGUUGAAGGUUGGGUAACACUAACUGGAGGACCGAACCGACUAAUGUUGAAAAAAUUAGCGGAUGACUUGUGGCUGGGGUGAAAAGGCACAAUCAAACCGGGAGAUAGCUGGUUUCUCCCCGAAAGCUAUUUAGGUAGCGCCUCGUGAAUUCAUCUCCGGGGGUAGAGCACUGUUUCGGCAAGGGGGUCAUCCGACUUACCAACCCGAUGCAAACUGCGAAUACCGGAGAAUGUUAUCACGGGAGACACACGGCGGGUGCUAACGUCCGCUGUGAAGAGGGAAACAACCCAGACCGCCAGCUAAGGUCCCAAAGUCAUGGUUAAGUGGGAAACGAUGUGGGAAGGCCCAGACAGCGGGAUGUUGGCUUAGAAGCAGCCAUCAUUUAAAGCGUAAUAGCUCACUGGUCGAGUCGGCCUGCGCGGAAGAUGUAACGGGGCUAAACCAUGCACCGAAGCUGCGGCAGCGACACUAUGUGUUGUUGGGUAGGGAGCGUUCUGUAAGCCUGUGAAGGUGGCCUGUGAGGGUUGCUGGAGGUAUCAGAAGUGCGAAUGCUGACAUAAGUAACGAUAAAGCGGGUGAAAAGCCCGCUCGCCGGAAAGACCAAGGGUUCCUGUCCAACGUUAAUCGGGGCAGGGUGAGUCGACCCCUAAGGCGAGGCCGAAAGGCGUAGUCGAUGGGAAACAGGUUAAUAUUCCUGUACUUGGUGUUACUGCGAAGGGGGACGGAGAAGGCUAUGUUGGCCGGGCGACGGUUGUCCCGGUUUAAGCGUGUAGGCUGGUUUUCCGUGCAAAUCCGGAAAAUCAAGGCUGAGGCGUGAUGACGAGGCACUACGGUGCUGAAGCGACAAAUGCCCUGCUUCCGAGGAAAAGCCUCUAAGCAUCAGGUAACAUCAAAUCGUACCCCAAACCGACACAGGUGGUCAGGUAGAGAAUACCAAGGCGCUUGAGAGAACUCGGGUGAAGGAACUAGGCAAAAUGGUGCCGUAACUUCGGGAGAAGGCACGCUGAUAUGUAGGUGAAGCGACUUGCUCGUGGAGCUGAAAUCAGUCGAAGAUACCAGCUGGCUGCACUGUUUAUUUAAAAACACAGCACUGUGCAAACACGAAAGUGGACGUAUACGGUGUGACGCCUGCCCGGUGCCGGAAGGUUAAUUGAUGGGGUUAGCGGUAACGCGAAGCUCUUGAUCGAAGCCCCGGUAAACGGCGGCCGUAACUAUAACGGUCCUAAGGUAGCGAAAUUCCUUGUCGGGUAAGUUCCGACCUGCACGAAUGGCGUAGAUGGCGGGGCUGUCUCCACCCGAGACUCAGUGAAAUUGAACUCGCUGUGAAGAUGCAGUGUACCCGCGGCAAGACGGAAAGACCCCGUGAACCUUUACUAUAGCUUGACACUGAACAUUGAGCCUUGAUGUGUAGGAUAGGUGGGAGGCUUUUGAAGUGUGGACGCCAGUCUGCAUGGAGCCGACCUUGAAAUACCACCCUUUAAUGUUUGAUGUUCUAACGUUGGGCCCCUUACCGGGGUUGCGGACAGUGUCUGGUGGGUAGUUUGACUGGGGCGGUCUCCUCCUAAGAGUAACGGAGGAGCACGAAGGUUGGCUAAUCCCGGUCGGACAUCAGGAGGUUAGUGCAAUGGCAUAAGCCAGCUUGACUGCGAAACGCGUGACGGCGCGAGCAGGUGCGAAAGCAGGUCAUAGUGAUCCGGUGGUUCUGAAUGGAAGGGCCAUCGCUCAACGGAUAAAAGGUACUCCGGGGAUAACAGGCUGAUACCGCAAGAGUUCAUAUCGACGGCGGUGUUUGGCACCUCGAUGUCGGCUCAUCCAUCCACGGGGCUGAAGUAGGUCCUAAGGGUAUGGCUGUUCGCCAUUUAAAGUGGUACGCGAGCUGGGUUUAGAACGUCGUGAGACAGUUCGGUCCCUAUCUGCCGGGCGCUGGAGAACUGAGGGGGCUGCUCUAGUACGAGAGGACCGGAGUGGACGCAUCACUGGUGUUCGGGUUGUCAUGCCAAUGGCACUGCCCGGUAGCUAAAUGCGGAAGAGAUAAGUGCUGAAAGCAUCUAAGCACGAAACUUGCCCCGAGAUGAGUUCUCCUGACUCCUUGAGAGUCCUGAAGGAACGUUGAAGACGACGACGUUGAUAGGCCGGGUGUAAGCGCAGCGAUGCGUUGAGCUAACCGGUACUAAUGAACCGUGAGGCUUAACCUUACAACGCCGAAG